Molecule: ribosomal RNA, 497 nt
Filed under: uncultured bacterium
Lineage: Bacteria
Description: partial 16S ribosomal RNA
Rfam family: Bacterial small subunit ribosomal RNA
Source: RNAcentral
GAUGAACGCUGGCGGCGUGCCUAAUACAUGCAAGUCGAACGAACAGACGAGGGGCUUGCUCCUCUGACGUUAGCGGCGGGCGGGUGAGUAACACGUGGAUAACCUCCCUAUAAGACUGGGAUAACUUCGAAAAACCGGCGCUAAUACCAGAUAAUAUAUUGAACCACAUGGUUCAAUAGGAAAAGACGGUUUUGCUGUCACUUAUAGCUGGAUUCGCGCCGCAUUAGCUAGUUGGGAAGGUAACGGCUUACCAAGGCAACGAUGCGUGGCCGACCUGAGAGAGUGAUCGCCCACAUGGGAACGGGAACAGGGACAAUGCUCCUAAGGGAGGGAGCAGUAGGGAACCGGACGCAAUGGGCGAAAGCCUUGCGGAGUAGGCGCGCGUGAGUGACGAAGGUGCCGGGAGCGUAAAACCGUGUUAUUAGUGAAGAACAAAUGUGUAAGUAAAUAUGCACGUAUUGACGGUACCUAAUCAGAAAGCAACGGCUAACUACGUG